Molecule: ribosomal RNA, 476 nt
Filed under: uncultured bacterium
Lineage: Bacteria
Description: partial 16S ribosomal RNA
Rfam family: Bacterial small subunit ribosomal RNA
Source: RNAcentral
GAUGAACGCUGGCGGCGUGCUUAACACAUGCAAGUCGAGCGAGUGAGUUCUUCGGAACGAUCUAGCGGCGGACGGGUGAGUAACACGUGGGCAACCUGCCUCAUAGAGGGGAAUAGCCUCCCGAAAGGGAGAUUAAUACCGCAUAAAAUUAUCGAGUGGCAUCACAUGAUAAUCAAAGGAGUAAUCCGCUAUGAGAUGGGCCCGCGGCGCAUUAGCUAGUUGGUGAGGUAACGGCUCACCAAGGCGACGAUGCGUAGCCGACCUGAGAGGGUGAUCGGCCACAUUGGGACUGAGACACGGCCCAGACUCCUACGGGAGGCAGCAGUGGGGAAUAUUGCACAAUGGGGGAAACCCUGAUGCAGCAACGCCGCGUGAGUGAUGAAGGUCUUCGGAUUGUAAAGCUCUGUCUUUGGGGACGAUAAUGACGGUACCCGAGGAAGAAGGACCGGCUAACUACGUGCCAGCAGCCGCCGUAA